GAAAUUUUUAAAUUCAUUCAUUCAUUCAUUACCACGCCAGAAAUUGCACGAAGUGCAAUUUCAUCACCCACCAGGAGUUGUAGCGUGCACCAAUGGACGGUACCACUAUGUAGUCAGCUAGCAUAGUAAAGAAGAGAGGAGUAAGAAAGAGGAGAUCUAUUAGUUCCGUUACCGGCAAGAUAGUGUUAAGAAGUUGUAACCAAAUAUAAAUAAUAAUGUACCUGACGCCUGAUUUUAGAGAUGGAAAAAAAAUUCUUAUAUUAGCCCAAAUCCUGCUAUAGAAGAGAUUGAGGAUUAUUUGGCGGAUCCAGUGGAACAAACAAAAGUGGAUGUUCUUAGCUGGUGGUCUGGAAAGUCUGGAAAUGACAAGUGAUUUCCAAAGUAUUCAACUAUGGCCAGAGAUUAUUUAGGGCAACAAGCAACAUCGUUUGCCCGUGAAAGAUUUUUUUUCAAUCCAAUACCCUCACGAAAAUACGAAAUAGGAUGUCGGCUAUGACUCUCAAGCAUGCCAAUCGAUCAAUUCUUAGGAUAUUCAUAUUUUAAAUUU
Gordionus sp. m RMFG-2023 is the source of this 547-nucleotide long non-coding RNA. RefSeq lists it as uncharacterized. NCBI's taxonomy places the organism in Eukaryota, Metazoa, Nematomorpha, Gordioida, Chordodea, Parachordodidae. The transcript is spliced from 3 exons. The record is from RefSeq and is a predicted model, not a curated record.